Molecule: ribosomal RNA, 301 nt
Filed under: uncultured bacterium
Lineage: Bacteria
Description: partial 16S ribosomal RNA
Rfam family: Bacterial small subunit ribosomal RNA
Source: RNAcentral
CAGUCGCCGCGGGAAUACGGAGGGUGCAAGCGUUAAUCGGAAUUACUGGGCGUAAAGCGCACGCAGGCGGUUUGUUAAGUCAGAUGUGAAAUCCCCGGGCUCAACCUGGGAACUGCAUUUGAAACUGGCAAGCUAGAGUCUCGUAGAGGGGGGUAGAAUUCCAGGUGUAGCGGUGAAAUGCGUAGAGAUCUGGAGGAAUACCGGUGGCGAAGGCGGCCCCCUGGACGAAGACUGACGCUCAGGUGCGAAAGCGUGGGGAGCAAACAGGAUUAGAUACCCCUGUAGUCCCUGUCUCUUAUAC